Molecule: long non-coding RNA, 434 nt
Organism: Acipenser ruthenus (sterlet)
Lineage: Eukaryota; Metazoa; Chordata; Actinopteri; Acipenseriformes; Acipenseridae
Exons: 2
Source: RefSeq, a predicted model, not a curated record
CGUGCUGGGUUUAGAAACUGUAUCGCAUGAAAAGAAAAUACAGCUGAAUGAGGAUUUUACAAGAAUGGCGAGGGACUCUUUUGUUUUGUAGAAGCAGUUUAUGGGACGGACAGACGUGUGAAGGCCAGCGACGUGGAAGACCUCAUCACAGAGACGCUGAGAUUCACGCCUCACAGGAGGAAAGGAGCGACAGGUGAAUCACGCUCAUGUUCAUUCAAAUCUAAGUGAACGUACCUUUUUACUUGUGCAUGUGCUUUCUCCAAACUGUCAUUUUAACUCAACCCUUUUCUUUUCUAGGCAACUUCAUGGAACUGACAGUGAAGCUGGGCAAUCAUUCCUCUGAAGUGAGCUUUUGAAUUCUUAUAAACACUCUGGGUUUCAAGUUCAGUAUCAGUUUUGGAUGCAUUUAUAAUAAACCUCAUGUGACCUCUCCA